AACGCAUAUGGCACCUGACGCUCCGGCCGAGGGUAUGCCUGCCUCAGCGUCGUUCCAACCCCCUCUCCGAUCCCAAGCUCUGGGGCUUCGGAGGAGCUGGCCUCUCCCCUACCCACGGGACUGGCUGAAAGGCAAGCGGCCCGGUCGAACGGAUCGGCACCUGUGGUGGUGGCCACCGAGCCUCCUCUCUGGACCGAACCUUCGCACUGCCAGCGGCCCCCUCUAAGGAAACGCACCCCCCAAUCAUUCGACCUGAGUUCAGGCAAGAACACCCGCUGAACUUAA
Molecule: unclassified non-coding RNA, 285 nt
Filed under: Trechispora sp.
Lineage: Eukaryota; Fungi; Basidiomycota; Agaricomycetes; Trechisporales; Hydnodontaceae
Description: partial contains 5.8S ribosomal RNA, internal transcribed spacer 2, and large subunit ribosomal RNA
Source: RNAcentral